AUACGUAGGGUGCAAGCGUUAAUCGGAAUUACUGGGCGUAAAGCGUGCGCAGGCGGUUUUGUAAGUCAGGGGUGGAAUCCCCGGGCUCAACCUCGGGACUGCCUUUGUUACUGGCAGGCUAGAGGAAGGCAGAGGGGGAUGGAAUUCCGCGUGUAGCGGGGAAAUGCGGAGAUAUGCGGAGGAACAGCGGUGGCGAAGGCAAUCCCCUGGGAUUGUACUGACGCUCAUGCACGGAAGCGUGGGGAGCAAACAGGAGUAGAUACCCUGGUAGUCCACGCCCUAAACGAUGUCAACUGGUUGUUGGGUCUUCAUUGACUCAGUAACGAAGCUAACGCGUGAAGUUGACCGCCUGGGGAGUACGGCCGCAAGGUUGAAACUCAAAGGAAUUGACGGGG
RNAcentral lists this ribosomal RNA (395 nucleotides) under uncultured bacterium. RNAcentral's name for it is "partial 16S ribosomal RNA". It matches the Rfam family "Bacterial small subunit ribosomal RNA", at positions 523 to 918 of the family's 1533-position model. The record is from RNAcentral.